CCCCCCCCCCCCCCCACCCCCCCACACACACACAAACACUUCAACUGUUACAAGUAACAGUAAGCAGCAUCACCUUGUCACACUAGAAGCUUAUUGGGUAGCUCCUUUAAGUAUUAUAGCGAAUAGUUGCUGAACUUGUUCUCUAGCAAGGCCGUUGAAACUUGAUGAUUUAUCUUUUAUUUUUGCAAUUAUUGUCUUAAAUGUACUUUUCUUAAGUAAAACUAGAAAUUUGUCAUCUGUUAUUAUCAGCUUUAACUUAUGCAGUAUACAUGUAGAAGUGCAGGCUUCUCCCUCCCAUGUUCUUGGUCUGUUAUGGCAGUUAAUUUUUGUUGAUUAAUAAAGUGAAGUACGAUUGAUUGUUCAGAACAUGAGCUUGGUCUGAUUUCCUUCUCAACAAUAAGGUUGUUUUACGUUUUUUGUUUCUUUCCGUUUCAUUUCAGUAAAGCUUGAUUUGACUCUAAAACAGCAAUAUCCAUUUUGCUGAUGCGUUUUGCCCCUAGAAGUUUGUGCUACUGGAUUGGCUAAAGAAUUUGAGUGUUUACCUUUUACCUGUCUUAUAUUUUCAGGUUAUUAAAUUGUUUGAUAAAGGGCAAGUGAAGCUAGUAAAAUAUAACAGUCUAAUCAGCUUCAUGCAUUCAUGUCUAAUAGUGGAAUCCUCAGCUAAUUGUGGGCUAAACUUUAGAAAUCAAAUUGCUAUAAUGUUUUUCGAAUCCUCAAGUCAUUAUUAUGUCACUGCAGUGAUUUUUUUUUUUAAAAAAAAAUGAACAAAAAGAGUUCAACUAUUACAUAAAAUCAUGUAUAGAUGAAUUAUAGUAUGAGGUUAAUCUUUUUCUUUUUUUGAACUCUCAGAGAAAUUGACAUCUGUUAUACUUCUACUGUUAUUUUGUUUCGUACCAUCAUGAAAAUCGACAUUCAUUUGUUUGUUCAGCUCUAAACGGCACACCAUUCAAAUUGACAAAUACCUCAAUGAUAAGUUUGCAAAUUUCAAAACGAUAAUUCAAUUGGUGAGGUUAGUAUUUUUAUACAGUAAAAAAAAUCCAUGUUGAAUAAUGUAAAAAUCUUUCUUGUGAAAAGGACUAUAGGAAAUGACAAUCAACCAAUAGCAGUUCCUAGACAAGAAAGGCUCUUGACUUUAUGUGAAUAUGAAAGCCAAUAUAAUUAAUUUUUUGUUUGAAUUCUUCUUGCUCAAAAUGUCAUGCAAAAUGCGACUAAAUUAGUUUAAAAGUCACAUCAAUAGUUCUAAUUAGUGACAUUUGAUACUGGAAUAAACCCCCAAUAUGCUUUGUCAAAUAAUGUUCUUCAAAUUAAGGGAAAAGAAGAAAAUAACCAUUCCAAUUGUGGUAAGGGGUUAUGUGGUGUGUCCUUCUCUUUCCAUGCAUAAAUAAUGAGUAUGAUGAUCAAACAAUUUUGUCUGUAUCCUCCAAAGUCACCAUCCAUAAAAUUGUCUCCUUUUACUCUUUUUGUACUUUUGUCCUUUGGGAUGAAAAGACUACGUGAAAAAAAUUACUUAAUAAAUUUACGACCAUUUGAUUUGGAAAUUCUUCGAUCAGGUCGCAAACUAAUAUAUAAAUUGUUUUAGGUGAGCUUGUUGUGACUUGUGACAGACUAAGAAGGUGUUGAGAGAAAAUUGAUCCUUAAACUCCCUUAUGGAAUAACACAUAUUGCACCAAUUCAGUUAUCCUUACGGUUGUUGCUUACUUUUAGUAAAAAAAAAUAAUUAUUACAUCCUUAAAAAAAUGAAUUGUUAUUAAAUAUUACGAAAUGUUAUUCAAAUUAUCUAACCAAGAGUUGUUAAUUUUGGAAUUUUCAGCGUAUAAAUAAAGAUAUUUAGUUUUAAAAAGAUUACGGAUUAAUUUCCUAAAAAUAAAAAGAAAAUUAAUUACCCCUCAAAGGUUUUAUUUUAGAGUAAAUAAACCCAAAGGAUNNNNNNNNNNNNNNNNNNNNNNNNNNNNNNNNNNNNNNNNNNNNNNNNNNNNNNNNNNNNNNNNNNNNNNNNNNNNNNNNNNNNNNNNNNNNNNNNNNNNUUGCUGAACUUGUUCUCUAGCAAGGCCGUUGAAACUUUUUCUUUUUUGAAUUAUAGUAUGAGGUUAAUCUUUUUCUUUUUUGAACUCUCAGAGAAAUUUGACAUCUGUUAUACUUCUACUGUAAUUUUGUUUCGUACCAUCAUGAAAAUCGACAUUCAUUUGUUUGUUCAGCUAUAAACGGCACACCAUUCAAAUUGACAAAUACCUCAAUGAUAAGUUUGCAAAUUUCAAAACGAUAAUUCAAUUGGUGAGGUUAGUAUUUUAUACAAGUAAAAAAAAUCCAUGUUGAAUAAUGUAAAAAUCUUUCUUGUGAAAAGGACUACAGAAAAUGACAAUCAACCAAUAGCAGUUCCUAGACAAGAAAGGCUCUUCACUUUAUGUGAAUAUGAAAACCAAUAUAAUUAAUCUUUUGUUUGAAUUCUUCUUGCUCAAAAUGUCAUGCAAAAUGCGACUAAAUUAGUUUAAAAGUCACAUCAAUAGUUCUAAUUAGUGACAUUUGAUACUGGAAUAAACCCCCAAUAUGCUUUGUCAAAUAAUGUUCUUCAAAUUAAGGGAAAAGAAGAAAAUAACCAUUCCAAUUGUGGUAAGGGUAACAUGUGGUGGUGUCCUUCUCUUUCCAUGCAUAAAUAAUGAGUAUGAUGAUCAAACAAUUUUGUCUGUAUCCUCCAAAGUCACCAUCCAUAAAAUUGUCUCCUUUUACUCUUUUUGUACUUUUGUCCUUUGGGAUGAAAAGACUACGUGAAAAAAAUUACUUAAUAAAUUUACUACCAUUUGAUUUGGAAAUCCUUCGAUCAGGUCGCAAACUAAUAUAUAAAUUGUUUUAGGUGAGCCUGUUGUGACAAGCUUGACUAAGAAGGUGUUGAGAGAAAAUUGAUCCUUAAACUCCCUUAUGGAAUAACACAUAUUGCACCAAUUCAGUUAUUCUUACGAUUGUUGCUUACUUUUAGUAAAAAAAGAUAAUUAUUACAUCCUUAAAAAAAUGAAUUGUUAUUAAAUAUUAUGAAAUGUUAUUCAAAUUAUCUAACCAAGAGUUGUUAAUUUUGGAAUUUUCAGCAUAUAAAUAAAGAUAUUUAGUUUUAAAAAGAUUACGGAUUAAUUUCCUAAAAAUAAAAAGAAAAUUAAUUACUUCCAAAGGUUUUAUUUUAGAGUAAAUAAACCCAAAGGAUUAAUCUUGUACAAAUAGGUCAAAUCAUAUUCUCUCAUCUUAAAAACUUUUAUAAUAUUUUGAAUUUUCUUGUUUUCACUAUAAUAAUAAUAAUACUAUUUCCUAUUUCAUUCUUUAACAUUUUAAGCAAUUUAUUCAAAUGGUGAAAUCAAGAACCGUGUACUGAAUCAACUAACGGUCACGAUGAUCCGGUUUAUUUUUCGGCUCAUUAUUACACGUCAUUCGAAAAGACAGACCUUAUCGAAAACAAGAAGAGUUAAAAAGUCGAAAAUAACCCCCUUUCUUCAUUCUCCACGUUAGCUGUUACUAGUUGUACCUUACCUCCAGUACAGUCACGUAUCCUGCGCAUAAUAGCUGCAGUCAAUACACACACAGACUGAUAUAAGAAAUACAAUAAACCACUCAAGAAAGAAAGAGACUCACUCACACACAUUUGUUUCUCUGCCAUUUUUGGUAAUUGAAAGGCUUUCAUCAAUGGCAGUUGACUAGGGUUUUUCUGAACUUUUUCUUUAAUUUAUGCCAUUCAAUUGCAUUCAAAAGAAGUUACAAAAUCUCAAACUAUAGUUUUGCUUGUUUCUUUUUUUCCUGGAAAAUACACCGCGACAUUGUUCUUAUUCUUGGUUGUGUUGUAGAGAGAAAGAGAAAUCACGGUAAACCGACAGAACUCUGUUUCUUGCUUUCUUGUUUUUUCGUUUCUUUCAUAGUAGAGUGCUCUAUGAAACAGUGCAACUUUGGUAUUUACAGAAAUUUUAGUUGCAGUGAAAGUGGUGAUUCUUUUACUGCUUGUUGAUUAGACGAGAAUUCUUAAUCGGUGAGUCAUGAUUAGUUUGAUCAAUGUCAUUUGUUUUUUUACUUUUUAAAGAAAUUUCUUCUUUUUUUGUUUGAUUGGUUAAUGGUUAGCUGAAGUGUGUAGAGAUUUUCAUUUGAACUAUUUCACAUUUGUGUAUAAAAUUAUUAAGCUUGCUUCAAUGCUUGAUAAGUAUGGGCGGAUGAGUUUUACCAGGACAGAUGUUGUUAACUCAGUUUAGUUCUUGGUGUUUUCUUUAAAUCCUAGUUUGGAUCCUUAGAAGUCAGAAGAAAAGAAAAAAAAAAUCGGAAUCAUGGUUUCCGUGGUUUAGAUGAUUUGGGGGAAAAAAAUAGGGAAAGCGCCUCCUUGAACCAGUUCUGGAAAAUGAGCUUAUCUUGCCACACACACAAACACAACCCCCCCCCCCCCCCCACCCCCCCACACACACACAAACACUUCAACUGUUACAAGUAACAGUAAGCAGCAUCACCUUGUCACACUAGAAGCUUAUUGGGUAGCUCCUUUAAGUAUUAUAGCGAAUAGUUGCUGAACUUGUUCUCUAGCAAGGCCGUUGAAACUUGAUGAUUUAUCUUUUAUUUUUGCAAUUAUUGUCUUAAAUGUACUUUUCUUAAGUAAAACUAGAAAUUUGUCAUCUGUUAUUAUCAGCUUUAACUUAUGCAGUAUACAUGUAGAAGUGCAGGCUUCUCCCUCCCAUGUUCUUGGUCUGUUAUGGCAGUUAAUUUUUGUUGAUUAAUAAAGUGAAGUACGAUUGAUUGUUCAGAACAUGAGCUUGGUCUGAUUUCCUUCUCAACAAUAAGGUUGUUUUACGUUUUUUGUUUCUUUCCGUUUCAUUUCAGUAAAGCUUGAUUUGACUCUAAAACAGCAAUAUCCAUUUUGCUGAUGCGUUUUGCCCCUAGAAGUUUGUGCUACUGGAUUGGCUAAAGAAUUUGAGUGUUUACCUUUUACCUGUCUUAUAUUUUCAGGUUAUUAAAUUGUUUGAUAAAGGGCAAGUGAAGCUAGUAAAAUAUAACAGUCUAAUCAGCUUCAUGCAUUCAUGUCUAAUAGUGGAAUCCUCAGCUAAUUGUGGGCUAAACUUUAGAAAUCAAAUUGCUAUAAUGUUUUUCGAAUCCUCAAGUCAUUAUUAUGUCACUGCAGUGAUUUUUUUUUUUAAAAAAAAAUGAACAAAAAGAGUUCAACUAUUACAUAAAAUCAUGUAUAGAUGAAUUAUAGUAUGAGGUUAAUCUUUUUCUUUUUUGAACUCUCAGAGAAAUUGACAUCUGUUAUACUUCUACUGUUAUUUUGUUUCGUAC
RNAcentral lists this long non-coding RNA (5286 nucleotides) under Solanum tuberosum (potato). RNAcentral's name for it is "long non-coding RNA (STUB_LNC002298)". The record is from RNAcentral. Lineage: Eukaryota; Viridiplantae; Streptophyta; Magnoliopsida; Solanales; Solanaceae.